This 557-nucleotide ribosomal RNA is filed under the name uncultured bacterium. Its description in RNAcentral is "partial 16S ribosomal RNA". It matches the Rfam family "Bacterial small subunit ribosomal RNA", at positions 355 to 902 of the family's 1533-position model. The record is from RNAcentral.
UGGGGAAUAUUGGACAAUGGGCGCAAGCCUGAUCCAGCAAUGCCGCGUGUGUGAAGAAGGCCUUCGGGUUGUAAAGCACUUUUAUCAGGAGCGAAACGCUGUCGGCUAAUACCCGGCGGAACUGACGGUACCUGAGGAAUAAGCACCGGCUAACUUCGUGCCAGCAGCCGCGGUAAUACGAAGGGUGCAAGCGUUAAUCGGAAUUACUGGGCGUAAAGCGUGCGUAGGCGGUUUCUUAAGUCUGCUGUGAAAUCCCCGGGCUCAACCUGGGAAUGGCAGUGGAUACUGGGAGGCUAGAGUGUGUCAGAGGGUGGUGGAAUUCCCGGUGUAGCGGUGAAAUGCGUAGAGAUCGGGGGGCAACAUCAGUGGCGAAGGCGGCCACCUGGGACAACACUGACGCUGAGGCACGAAAGCGUGGGGAGCAAACAGGAUUAGAUACCCUGGUAGUCCACGCCCUAAACGAUGCGAACUGGAUGUUGGUCUCAACUCGGAGAUCAGUGUCGAAGCUAACGCGUUAAGUUCGCCGCCUGGGGAGUACGGUCGCAAGACUGAAACUC